CACUGGCUUCGGCAGCACAGACACUAAACUGGGCGGAGACAGGAAAGAUUAGCAUGGCCCCUGCACUAGGAUGAUGUGCAAAUCCAUAACGUGUUCCAUACUUUU
Small nuclear RNA from Phyllostomus hastatus (greater spear-nosed bat), 105 nucleotides. NCBI's taxonomy places the organism in Eukaryota, Metazoa, Chordata, Mammalia, Chiroptera, Phyllostomidae. The record is from RefSeq and is a predicted model, not a curated record.